UGUUCUUCGAGUCGUUGUUUUAAUCCCCGAGUUGUGACUCCUAUGUAUACUUGUUCUUCUUGUGUGGUGUGAUUUUCAAUCGGUAUUCUAUACACACCUGACUUGUAAUUUGGAUGGAUUUUAUUUUUGUCAUUACGGAGUUGGUUGUAAACUGUUGGAAAUCGUUUGUACGUGAUCUUCUUACUAGUUUUUUGUGCUAUUUUUUUAACAAGGUUGGAGCUCCUCAUAGCAUAGGGUAUGGUCUCGUAUCGUUCUUUGUGGGCGCGCAGGUUAUCAGCAUUCUCAAUUGUUUGCUUAGUUUUCUGGAGGAUUUUUUCUAAUACUUGCCUAGGGUAACCGUGUUGGUGACC
RNAcentral lists this long non-coding RNA (350 nucleotides) under Androctonus crassicauda. The record is from RNAcentral. Lineage: Eukaryota; Metazoa; Arthropoda; Arachnida; Scorpiones; Buthidae.